GGUAGCUCAGUGGUAGAGUGCUUGCCUUGCAUGCACGAGGCCCUGGGUUCAAUUCCUCAGUACCA
RNAcentral lists this transfer RNA (65 nucleotides) under Dipodomys ordii (Ord's kangaroo rat). It matches the Rfam family "tRNA". From Rfam's summary of the family: Transfer RNA (tRNA) molecules are approximately 80 nucleotides in length. Their secondary structure includes four short double-helical elements and three loops (D, anti-codon, and T loops). The record is from Rfam by way of RNAcentral. Lineage: Eukaryota; Metazoa; Chordata; Mammalia; Rodentia; Heteromyidae.